This 443-nucleotide ribosomal RNA is filed under the name uncultured bacterium. RNAcentral describes it as "partial 16S ribosomal RNA". It matches the Rfam family "Bacterial small subunit ribosomal RNA", at positions 338 to 795 of the family's 1533-position model. The record is from RNAcentral.
CCUACGGGUGGCAGCAGUGGGGAAUAUUGGACAAUGGGGGGAACCCUGAUCCAGCGACGCCGCGUGAGUGAAGAAGUAUUUCGGUGUGUAAAGCUCUAUCAGCAGGGAAGAAAGAAAUGACGGUACCUGACUAAGAAGCCCCGGCUAACUACGUGCCAGCAGCCGCGGUAAUACGUAGGGGGCAAGCGUUAUCCGGAUUUACUGGGUGUAAAGGGAGCGUAGACGGCGAUGCAAGUCUGAAGUGAAAGGCGGGGGCCCAACCCCUGGACUGCUUUGGAAACUGUAUGGCUGGAGUGCAGGGGAGGUAAGUGGAAUUCCUAGUGUAGCGGUGAAAUGCGUAGAUAUUAGGAGGAACACCAGUGGCGAAGGCGGCUUACUGGACUGUAACUGACGUUGAGGCUCGAAAGCGUGGGGAGCAAACAGGAUUAGAUACCCUAGUAGUC